This 126-nucleotide non-coding RNA is filed under the name marine eukaryotic metagenome. The record is from RNAcentral.
UUGUAAGUACUUUCGCGAUGUAGGGAAUUAGGGGUAAAUUCAGAAUAAGCAACACUACAUUCCCAAUGUACAUUGAAAUGAUGACGGCCCAAAAAAUCUGUGGUUCAUCUGUCAUUAAUCUUGGAC